Long non-coding RNA from Jaculus jaculus (lesser Egyptian jerboa), 576 nucleotides. RefSeq lists it as uncharacterized. Lineage: Eukaryota; Metazoa; Chordata; Mammalia; Rodentia; Dipodidae. The record is from RefSeq and is a predicted model, not a curated record. The transcript is spliced from 3 exons.
CUGGGAUCGUGUUCCUGCUUUGUCAUCUGCCCAAGGUCACUUGUGGUCAUCUUGCCCUUCUGCAAGCUGCCUGACAUGACGAACUCUGAGCUGUGUCUUAUUCUGUGGCUGGAAGAAUUGAAGGAGCAGUCUGAAGCUGCAGUGAGAAGAAUCCCUCUGCCCAGAGACUCCACUGUCAUGUGAGAGCCCAAACCUUGGCCACCUUCACCGAGAGAUGACAGGAAGGAGCCAGAAGCUGGCCUGGAGAGGGAGCUGUCCAGGUCACACCCGCUGCCACAACCCCAUCUACGGCGCACACCAGUGAGUCACUGAGCCGGGUCCUCCGCGCUGAGCCCUUUCCUGAUCCCACCACAGGAAUUGCAGAUGCGUCACCUGGACCUGCUUGGGAAGAUCCGCCAGCGUCCGGGUCGCCUCUCUCAGCAUAGCCAUGCCAGCAGGAGAGCCUGGCUGCAACAAGGAUGGCAGGAGACACGCAGUUCCCCACCUUCCAAAUUCCCAUUCGGGCUCAAGCAGACUGUGCGAAGAUCCCUGACUGUUGGGAGUUCUUGAGAACAUUUCUUUAAGCUUUUAACAAUU